CAAUGGCGUAAACAAAGGGAAGCGAGACGGCGACGUUAAGCAAAUCCCAGAAAUAACGUCCCAGUUCGGAUUGUAGUCUGCAACCCGACUACAUGAAGCUGGAAUCGCUAGUAAUCGCGGAUCAGAAUGCCGCGGUGAAUACGUUCCCGGGUCUUGUACACACCGCCCGUCACACCAUGGGAGUCGGAAAUGCCCGAAGUCAGUGACCCAACCGGAAGGAAGGAGCUGCCGAAGGUGGAGCCGGUAACUGGGGUGAAGUCGUAACAAGGUAGC
This 273-nucleotide ribosomal RNA is filed under the name uncultured bacterium. Its description in RNAcentral is "partial 16S ribosomal RNA". It matches the Rfam family "Bacterial small subunit ribosomal RNA", at positions 1228 to 1500 of the family's 1533-position model. The record is from RNAcentral.